RNAcentral lists this ribosomal RNA (446 nucleotides) under uncultured bacterium. Its description in RNAcentral is "bacterial SSU rRNA". It matches the Rfam family "Bacterial small subunit ribosomal RNA", at positions 330 to 793 of the family's 1533-position model. The record is from RNAcentral.
CCCAGACUCCUACGGGAGGCAGCAGUGGGGAAUAUUGCACAAUGGGGGGAACCCUGAUGCAGCGACGCCGCGUGAGUGAAGAAGUAUUUCGGUAUGUAAAGCUCUCUCAGCAGGGAAGAAAAUGACGGUACCUGACUAAGAAGCCCCGGCUAACUACGUGCCAGCAGCCGCGGUAAUACGUAGGGGGCAAGCGUUAUCCGGAUUUACUGGGUGUAAAGGGAGCGUAGACGGUGAUGCAAGUCAGAAGUGAAAGCCCGCGGCUCAACUGCGGGACUGCUUUUGAAACUGUAUGACUGGAGUGCAGGAGAGGUAAGCGGAAUUCCUAGUGUAGCGGUGAAAUGCGUAGAUAUUAGGCGGAACACCAGUGGCGAAGGCGGCCUGCUGGACUGCGACUGACGUUGAGGCCCGAAAGCGUGGGGAGCAAACAGGAUUAGAUACCCCAGUAA